AUUGGGUCGCCAUGUUCCCAAGCUGGAUCACGUUUACUAGCUCCACUAGACAUCUUAAACGUACCUACAUUUAAUUUGAUAAAACCUAAUAUUAAUGAAUAAUAAUCCAAUUUGAUAAAAAAAUAAUCACUGAUGAAUAAUAAUCCAAUUUGAUAAUAAUCCAAUUUAAUGAAUAAUCCAAUUUGAUAAUAAUCCAAUUUAAUGAAUAAUCCAAUUUGAUAAUAAUAAAAAAACCUAAUAUUAAUGAAUAAUAAUCCAAAUUGAUAAAAAAAUAAUCCUAAUAUAAAACAUAGUGAUGAAUAAUAAUCCAAUUUGAUAAUAAUAAAAAACCUAAUAUUAAUGAAUAAUAAUCCAAUUUGAUAAAAAAAAUAAUCCUAAUAUAAAACAUAGUGAUGAAUAAUAAUCUAAUUUAAUGAAUAAUCCAAUUUGAUAAUAAUCCAAUUUAAUGAAUAAUCCAAUUUGAGAAUAAUAAAAAACCUAAUAUUAAUGAAUAAUAAUCCAAAUUGAUAAAAAAAUAAUCCUAAUAUAAAACAUAGUGAUGAAUAAUAAUCCAAUUUAAUGAAUAAUCCAAUUUGAGAAUAACAAUAAUAUAAAUAUAAGUUAGGAAGGGCUUAAUAAAAAGUUGUACACAUGAUUUCUAAUCUAACCUCCGACCAGGCUAACUAAUAUAUUUCAUAUUAAAUUCACAAACAUGCAACUGAGAUCCCCAUGUUCUAUUUUACUUUUUAUUUUAUUUUUUUGGUCUUAACUUAAUAUUAAUGAAUAAUAAAAAACCUAAUAUUAAUGAAUAAUAAUCCAAAUUGAAAAAAAAUUAAUCCUAAUAUAAAAACAUAGUGAUGAAUAAUAAUCCAAUUUGAUAAUAAUCCAAUUUAAUAAUAAUCCAAUUUAAUGAAUAGUCCAAUUUGAUAAUAAGCCAAUUUAAUGAAUAAUCCAAUUUAAUGAUUAAUAAUCCAAUUUAACAAUAAUCCAAUUUAUUUGUUAUUGUAUAAAUUACAAUAAUAUAAAUAUAAGUUUGUAAACUUACCUUAAAUAUGGAACCCUUUGUGU
RNAcentral lists this long non-coding RNA (1047 nucleotides) under Malus domestica (apple). RNAcentral's name for it is "long non-coding RNA (MDOM_LNC018996)". Lineage: Eukaryota; Viridiplantae; Streptophyta; Magnoliopsida; Rosales; Rosaceae. The record is from RNAcentral.